Molecule: long non-coding RNA, 3591 nt
Organism: Equus caballus (horse)
Lineage: Eukaryota; Metazoa; Chordata; Mammalia; Perissodactyla; Equidae
Source: Ensembl
GGCCAGGGCAUGGGGGCCUGGCCCGGUGUCAAAGGCUGGAAGGAGGCACAGAUCCAACAGCAAGCCAGGUUCAGAGCAUGGCCAGCGUCAGGGCAGCCACAGGAAGUCAAAGGCCUCACUCAGCACAGCCUUCCUCCUUUCUGAGAAAGACCAUCAAAGCAGAACAAAGGUGGCUGACAGGGUGAGGAGAGUUCCAGCCUGGGCACUGGGGGGGCUUCAGUCCUGCUUAGAGAAGGCACCGUCUGCCCAACUCCUCCCAAGACCACUGCUCACUCGGACACCUACCACCUGUACCCAGCCAUCUGGCCCCUCUGACAAGACUCCUUCCCGAACCACUGCCCCCACCGACACCUUUCAGAAUCAUAUGGUUCCCAGUCAGUCACCCAGCUCUUGUAAAUCCAGCUGAAGCAGGAUGAUCACAAUAGCCAAGACUGUUGGACUGCGUACUGCAUGCAGAACGCUUCUCUAUACUCCAUACGGAGGACUCGACUCUGAUAACUGCUCACAAUGACCCUUAGAGGGGUCUGUUUCAUCAGGAGGGCCCCGAGGAUCAGAACACAGAAAGCCCAGAGAAAGCGCCCAUCACUCAUCAGCAGAAGAAAGAACAUCAGAAGCAUCAACACCAUCUUUCAGUGCUAGACGAGCUGUACGAGAGGCGGAAGCAAACUCUCCUUUCUCCAUGGAGCCACCUGCCAGUCACUGAGGAGGACCUGCUAUACGGCAGACACUGUAUGGGAACUGUAUGUGGUUGAACAACGCAAGUCCCCAGUUCCAGUCUGACAGUGCCUACAGCACAAAAGGUCAAGUUCACCCAUUCAGGACGCUGACGAGCCAGACAGAGAGGAGGUCUGUCCACACCGGCCGCCACCGCUGCACAGGGAGGGGACUGCCAACAGACAGCCGUCCCCAGAGCGGGCUGCAGGAGCGCCGGGCCGGCCAAGCCACCAUGCACGCCUCCCACACACAGCCUGCAGCCCCAGGAAAUGGAGGUUUGAGACCGCAAGCAUAAAUGUCCAGGAGGGCUGACCGGCCCCUCUAUUUCUUCCCUCUUUUUUUCUCUCUCUCUUUUCCAGCAAAGCCAGCAAUUGAGAACUCCACAUGACAGAUUCCUGUGGCUAAAAGGGGCCUCUUGAGGUCAUCGACCCUGUUCCCCCACAUCAAGACAAGCCUGUCCUGAAGCUACUCAGAGGCUGGCCACAGUCCUCAUUACAGGAUCUGGAGGAGAGGCUGCCACCUCCUUUGUUGCUACCAGGGCAGCCUCGCCUUCUGUCUCACAGCACUCGUGACAUUUAAUUUUCCUCUUUUAGUCCAAUAUCUGUGUCCUGGCUCAUGACUGUGAGCGCCUAAGGCGAGGGACCCUGUUGUAAUCUUCUCUGUAUCUUCAGAACUUAGCAUAAUGCCUGGUCCAGUGGGGCUACUUAGUAAAUGAUGGUGGGUGGGUGGGUGAGUGGAUGAGUGGACAGGUGCAUAGAUGAGUGUGUGGAUUAGUAAAUGUGGGUGGGUGGAUGGACAGAUGGGUGGGUGAGUGGAUAGGUGUGUAGAUAAGUAGAUAGGCAUAUAGAUGAGUGGGUGGUUGGGUAGAUGGGGGAAUGGGUGAGUGGAUAGGUGUAUAGAUGGAUGGAUGGGUGGGUGGGUGGAUGGAUGGAUGAAUAGGUGGGAGGGUAGAUGAAGGAGGGGUAAGUGGAUAGAUGGAUGGAGGUACAGGCUAAAAAGGGAAAGAGAGACAGAAGAUGGUUGCAGUUAGGAGCUAUCAAACACACCCCCUUUAGACUGCCAGAAUCAUGGAACUUUGAGGCCAAAAGGGACUUGAGAGUUCCUCUAAGUCUCACCCCUACUCCUUAUUUUGCAGACGUGGAAACUAACAUUCCUACCCGAGCUGCUGUGUCCGAGGUCACAGGACUGAGGGUGAGCGAAUCCACAGCAGCACCCAGGGCUCUGGGCAGCCUCAGUCGGAAAGGAGACAUGGUGAUCCCUCCUCCUAUCAGAACAAAAAUGACACCCACACUCCGACUCGUGCAGAGUGGCACUGCUUCUUUCUCCCACCCGUGAAGCUUCAGCUACGUGCCCUAAAACUGUGAUGGAACCAAGAGGAAGAGAGGCACGGGGAAGAAGGAGUGUCAGUCUCCCGUGGUCAUAAGGAAGCUUAAGGCGACAGCCCAGCGAGUGCCCACCAGGAGGGCCAGUGCUCCUGCUUCGGCCCUGAUCACACGCCUCUUCAGAGGGAGCGGGGAGCAAAGCUGAGCGUUUUCAUCUUCCUCCAUUCCAUCUUUCUGCCGUAAUUCCUGCUAUGAGAGAAAACGCAGCCAAAAUCCAGAGACCAGAAUGAAAUGGCCCAUCUCCAGCUCGGUUAUGGAGCAUACAGAUGAAUCAGUCACAACUAUUUCCUGAUGGUCUGCUGUGCGUUCAGGCCUGGGACGAGCACAGACCCAGGACAAUUCAAAAUCUAGAUCCUGGACCAAACCUACAAUUCAGGUUUCUAACUGCCGACUGCUCAUUCAUUCUCUCAUUCAUGUAACAAAUCACAGCUGAGCACCGGCCACAUGCCCUGGGCUAGGUUUUGGAGUUUGGGUCCAUUCUCUGCCGAGUACGCAGGAAGCUUGAACCUGAUUGUGAGCAGUGAUCAUCCCCAUCACUGGUGUCCACAUGGUGCUUUUCCAUUCUCAAAGCAUCUGUCCAAACACAGAUGCAUUCAACCCCCACAACGACCCCAGGGAAGUCAGCAGGGAGUGUUCUCAAGCUUUCCCACUGUACAUUUAGGGAAACCGAGGUACCGAGGGUUCGAGACUUAUCCAUGAUCAUACAGCAGAACGGUGACUCAAACCCUCCUCUUCUGUUUUCUUUUGGGUACAAAUCCCUGUGAGAGACAUGAGGAGUCUGUGUCAGGAAAAGAUCCCAGUAGGCAGGGGUGGCCAGAGUGGACUGGACAGCGGAGGACGUGGAUAUGGGGAAAACAAAAGGCAGGUGGCUCCUGAAAGGACACGGAGCAGAGCUCCUCUAGCUCAGUGUGAGGCAUCCACAGGGCUGGGCACAGUUCUUGACGUGAACGGAGAAUCUAAACCAAAGCGAGAGCCUUGUAUGUUGCUGAGGAGGAGGAGGAGGGUGCAAAAGCGAUCAGCUCUGAGUCAGACAAACCCUGGUUGUGCUUCUGUCUGUGCCGUUAUAAACUGUGUGCCCUAACUGAGCCUUGACUUUCUCAUCUGUAAAGUGGGACUAAUGGGGUCCAUUCCAUCUCUACAGAAUUCAGUGGGAUUAAGGGUCAGACACAGUGGCGUGAAGCGAGUGCCCCACAUCUCUCUUGUUACCUAAGGGGACCUGCAAUGCCACCAUGUUUGUUUGCUUGUUUUGCUUGAGGUGAAAUUCACAUGAAAUAAAAUUAACCAUUUAAAAGUAUACAAUUCAGCAGUAUUUAGUGCAUUCCCAAGGUAGUACAAGUCAUUGCCUCUAUCUAGUUCCAAAACAUUUUCAUCGCUCAAAACAAAACUGCAUACCCAUUAAGCAGUUACUUCUCAUCGCCUCCCACCCCUGGCAACCACCAAUCUGCAUCGUCUCUAUGGAUUUACCAAUUCUGGAUACUUCAUAAAAAUGGAAUCA